UGGCGAACGGGUGAGUAAUAUAUCGGAACGUGCCCAGUCGUGGGGGAUAACGUAGAGAAAUUUACGCUAAUACCGCAUACGAUCUACGGAUGAAAGUGGGGGAUCGCAAGACCUCAUGCUCAUGGAGCGGCCGAUAUCUGAUUAGCUAGUUGGUAGGGUAAAAGCCUACCAAGGCUUCGAUCAGUAGCUGGUCUGAGAGGACGACCAGCCACACUGGGACUGAGACACGGCCCAGACUCCUACGGGAGGCAGCAGUGGGGAAUUUUGGACAAUGGGGGCAACCCUGAUCCAGCAAUGCCGCGUGAGUGAAGAAGGCCUUCGGGUUGUAAAGCUCUUUUGUCAGGGAAGAAACGGUGGGGGCUAAUAUCCUCUGCUAAUGACGGUACCUGAAGAAUAAGCACCGGCUAACUACGUGCCAGCAGCCGCGGUAAUACGUAGGGUGCAAGCGUUAAUCGGAAUUACUGGGCGUAAAGCGUGCGCAGGCGGUUGUGCAAGACAGAUGUGAAAUCCCCGGGCUCAACCUGGGAAUUGCAUUUGUGAC
RNAcentral lists this ribosomal RNA (541 nucleotides) under uncultured Oxalobacteraceae bacterium. RNAcentral describes it as "bacterial SSU rRNA". It matches the Rfam family "Bacterial small subunit ribosomal RNA", at positions 96 to 633 of the family's 1533-position model. Lineage: Bacteria; Pseudomonadati; Pseudomonadota; Betaproteobacteria; Burkholderiales; Oxalobacteraceae. The record is from RNAcentral.